RNA transcript from Dunckerocampus dactyliophorus (ringed pipefish), 4938 nucleotides. It is a transcript of the gene named tissue alpha-L-fucosidase-like, with no coding region annotated. The record is from RefSeq and is a predicted model, not a curated record. The transcript has 10 exons. Lineage: Eukaryota; Metazoa; Chordata; Actinopteri; Syngnathiformes; Syngnathidae.
CACGCGACUCAUUACGUGAUGAAAACACCCUAUGCGGAAGUAAAUAUGUGUGAACAUUCAAUGAGUGGGCAUGUGAGCGUAGAUAAGCCAAAAACAAUCAUGUUAGUCGUAUUUUUCGCCGUUUUACUGAGCAUUUUAACGUCUGAAGCUCGCUACACAGCAGACUGGACGAGUCUAGAUUCCCGACCGCUCCCCUCUUGGUUCGACGAGGCGAAGGUGGGCAUUUUUAUCCACUGGGGGGUGUUCUCCGUUCCAGGCUUUAACAGCGAGUGGUUCUGGUGGCACUGGCAAGGUCAAAAACCACCAGACCCCAAUUGUGUGGCCUUUAUGACAAAAAACUACCCACCGGGAUUCCGCUACCCCGAGUUUGCUAGUAAUUUUCAUGGUCAGUUCUUCAACCCGGAGGAGUGGGCUGAUAUAUUCAGAACUUCCGGAGCAAAGUAUGUCGUCUUGACAGCCAAACACCAUGAGGGUUUUACCAACUGGGCCUCUCCAUACUCCUGGAACUGGAAUUCUGUUGAUACCGGUCCCCACAGAGACCUUGUGGGAGAUCUGGGGGAGGCAGUGCGCAAUCGGUCACUACACUUUGGACUGUAUAACUCCUUAUAUGAGUGGUUCCACCCGCUCUACCUGACCGACAAGCAGAAUGGAUUCAAAACACAGGACUUUGUGCUGCAUAAGCUUUUACCAGAGCUUUAUAACAUGGUUGUGAGAUACAGACCUGAGGUGAUCUGGUCUGAUGGGGACUGGGAGGCACCAGACACAUACUGGAACUCCACGCAGUUCCUUGCCUGGCUCUACAAUGAUAGCCCUGUUAAAGAUACAGUUGUGACCAAUGACAGAUGGGGAGCUGGUUGUUCAUGUAAACAUGGAGGUUACUACAACUGUGAUGACAAGUAUACUCCAGGCCAGCUGCCCAAGCAUAAGUGGGAGAAAUGCACGUCUGUGGACACGUUGUCUUGGGGCUAUCGCCGUAACAUGAAGCUGAGUGACCUGAUGGACCUGCCUACUAUCAUAGAGGAUCUGGUUCAGACCGUGGCCCUGGGAGGUAACUACCUCCUCAAUGUGGGGCCCACUCCUGAUGGAAUGAUCCCAGUGGUGUUUGAGGAACGUCUGCGGGGCGUUGGUGCUUGGCUGCAAAUCAACGGCGAGGCAAUCUACUCUUCCAAUCCUUGGAGAGUCCAGAUGGAAAACACUUCGAUACCCGUGUGGUAUACUUCCAAAGGGGACAGCAUUUAUGCCACCUUGACAAGUAAACCCCACAAGCCCACUCUGCAACUUUUGGAACCCAAAACAUCAGCUGCCACUAAGGUGACGUUGUUGGGGGACCCCAAGCCUUUGUCCUGGUCGCCAGUCCAGCCAUAUGCCGGCCUUAAUAUUCUCUUACCUGAGCUGCCUUUCACACAAGGACAAGCCUGGACCCUCAAACUGGAUGGCGUACAGUAAACAGUCAACACCAGAAGGUCACCCUUUCUGCAAACUCACUUUCCUCUGGGAGUUCGUUCUCCUCCGCCUCCCUCUCCAUGUUCUGGCACCAGCCCUCCAUCCUCUCCACUUCAGUCUGCAGGAGGCGCAGGAAGAAUUCGCCGUCUCUCAUACAGGGGGAGGCUCGGCCCGAGUCGGGGAGGCUGCGGGGGCCCUCCAGGGAGGGCGUCCCUGCCCACGCCCGCUCAGACGUGAGGGGCAGUGGGGAGUGGGAACGUGGAGGAAGGUGCUGAUGCUGAUGCGACCGUGGGUCUACUGGACACGCCUCGGUGGUAUAGCCACUCUGGAUGAAGUCCUGGAAUGAGUCACUUCCUGUCGGUGUCCCAAUACUUUUGCUCAUAUAAGGUAUCUCCAUGGCAUGCACACAUACCUCUCUGUAGGCCCACUGCCCUUGUGUAUGCACAGUGCGGUGGCACUCUGUGUACUGGCCAGCUGACUCCGGCUCUGACGAGUGCCUUUGGAAGGAGCAGCCAAACUGCAGGCUCUUGUCCUGCGUUGGCACGGCAACACUGAGCCCUGGGAAGCCCUCGGGGUCCAGGUCUGCCUGCACGCUCGCCGUCACGCUGUUGGAGCGCUUGAAACGGGCCCGUCUACGACAGGGGGAAGUCAGAGCAGGCCGAGAGUCAUCCAGUUACAUGGUGCCAUUGCACGCGAAAGCCUCUUUGAAAUGCCCUUCUCCCCCUCAUCCCGAUAAUUGAAGCAGUGACCGUCGCACUGCCAUUCCAGUCAAUAGUACUCACUCACUAGUGGUAAGUCAUCUGGCAUAUGACACAUCGGCAAGUGCACGUCAGUGGACAAAGACGAGCAUUUAUGUGACACUGCCAUCUUGGCAGAGCCUUACUGAGAUAUACUGUACAAAAUAAGAAUAAUAGUGAAGACGUCCGGCCCCCAGGUCCUUAGCUUUCAGAAAAUAUGACCCCUGGAACAGUUGAAUAGCCCUGGCUUAGACUCCAGCAUGUGACACAUUAGCAAUAGGAGUGCACUUUAAUUGCAAACAAAGCAGAAGGUGUUACAGACUUCAAGCUGCGAUGUCUGAUGAAAUGUUAAAUAGAAUCCAGUGACAAAAUCAACUAAAGGUGUCUGCACCCAUGGGGGGGCCCAGACAAAAAAAGGCAUUUGUAAAUUAUGCAUUGGAAAUGAUGAAGCUCUUGAUGAAGCUACAUAUUUUUGGACUAAAUAUAGAAUUUGCACUUCUGCAAAUGUCACACAACAUAAGCAAGUGCUGACUAUAUUUACCAUACUAUUCAUUACCUUUUGUCAUCUUCCACCUGGACUCCUAUGGAGUGGACCUCUGUCAGAGCUUUGCCCUCGGCGUCUGAAUCUGAAAGAGUCUCUGAGCUGUCCACCUGCAAUACAGGACAAAAAGCACAAUAAAACCCACAGUCUAUAAAUAAAAUAACUACUCCUUCAUUGAAGUAAAGCACUUCAUCUUAUCUGCCUUUUCACCCUCGUGGUUACGUUUUUAAUCCAAUCAUAAUUCACCCAUGCCGUUGCCAGGUAAGAAGUAUUCAUCGGAGCCCCAAAGAACCAAUCAGAAUUUGAGCUGGUCAGGCGCUAGGAAGCAGGUGCUGUAUGUGUGAUUACGUCGAGAGCUAGCAACGCGACUAAAUCGUAUUUUUCGAGUUUAUUUUUUUAACGAAUUGAAUAGGAUAUAUAUAUAUAUAUAUAUAUCCCCAUAUGUGUGUGUGUGUGUGUGAAGUAUGGUGGCCUUUACAUGUUGACUUUCCCUGUGUGUACUGCUUCUGCGUAGUAGUGGACGUUGUCAGUUUAAAAUGACAUUAGUAGCAAUAUUAUUGCUAACUGUGAGCAUUAGCCUUCAUGGCAAUUACCUGAACUGCACAGACAAACAAGAUGAAUGGUGAGUACUGUACAGUUCAUGUUAUGCACACAUUUAUUAUUUAUACAUGCCAUUUGUAGUUUUAAAAAAAAUGUAGCGCUAUUUAUUCUCAUUACACGUGAUGCAGUGUGCACUCCUGUUACAUUAUUGUUAAUGUUUUUUUAAAUUGAAAUGAUGUCAUAACAACAGCAUUAAGAGGUUGAAUAAUUAAAAAGGACACCAACAAAAGACCCUGCUGGGAUGUGAUUGGCCACCAUGAGCUGUAAUAAUAAACAUGUGAUAUAUAUAACAAAAAAAGUCUGAUAUGAGUCAGCCCAAAAUUUGUGUUUGGUAUGCAUCAUAAGUAAACUCCGAACUGAGGGAAUGACAAACACAGCUGCCAGGCCAGACGGCGAUGUAAUCGCUCAUCUCAUCUCUCCGCUUGGCAAGAAAGCAACAGAAUGAUUUCCUAAAUGAAGUCUAAGCAAUGGAUGGCCUCCACUUCCUCCCGCCGCAUCCGUCAUCCUGCCCUCCAGCUUUACUCAAAACAAUGCUGUUCUGAGGCAGUGAGACUGACUUCCCCAGGCUUCCCCCGACCCGACUGUCCCUCUCCCGGGCUGGCCUCGGCGGCCCCUCCAGCAAACUGUCAGCCGAGCUGCUGUGUUUGGCCCUCACGCCAACUCCCGGGCCUCCUCCGUAGGGCACCAGCUCCCGCGAUCCCCGGAUCCCCCCAUCCAGGCUCUCUGCUGAGUUACUGUGCUGCCGGGAACGCCCUGGGCCUGUGGCCGUGUAGUAGCCCACUCUGGAGGAGCGUCCUGAUGGUCCGUCUGUGCAGCCCAGGUCCACGGAGUUACUGUGCUGCUUGGGGCGCAUGUGGCUUGCGGCGAGCUGUCCACUGCUCUGAUAGUAGGCGUCCUGGGUGGACUCUGUGCUGCUCUGGGCUCGCACGGAGAGCGAAGAUUUUGACAUGCGAGGUGGGAGCGGGGGAGGAGCACCUUUGCGAUAAGGAAAGACUGAAGUGUCAGAAGAGUGGGAGAAAGGAAGACAGAGGCAUAGUGGGCUGUUAAGAGAAAAAGGGGUAUCAUCUCAAAGGGGAGCAGGGAUGGAUACUUACAAAAGGGACAGACUGGAAGAAGAAGAGGGGAAGGAAACAUGGCGGAACAUUGAAAGGGGUUAAAAAUAGAGGGACGAAAAGGAGAAAUUAUGUAACCACUUGAUGAGAAAAAUAGAAUAAAUAAGCGUUGUUGCAUGCAUUUCAGUGAAAGACAGGAAGUGACUCUUCCCUUAAGCUAGCCAAAGUCUACCUCUUAAGAAGAUGAACAGAUUUCCUCAGAGACAUUAAAAUGACGACUGCUUCCCGCUCCCUCGUCUCCGCCUCCACCCUCACAGCUUUGUUGAACAGAUGCACACAGCACACAUCUUGCGUGGUUGCAGGUGAAGGUGGGAUUUUGUUAGGUGAGGGAGAUGACUACUGACACUUCCCAGAGGCUUUAAAUCAUCUCAGCGAAUUUGCUUAGUCUUAGCUUGGAAUUUUCAUGAGCGUGUAAACAAAUGCACUGUGCAGACCCUAAUAAAAAAGCAACCUCUAAAGUCCAACCCAGUCCGUUUCCAGAGGAAAAAUGACAAUCCAUAAUCCA